RNAcentral lists this ribosomal RNA (449 nucleotides) under uncultured bacterium. RNAcentral describes it as "partial 16S ribosomal RNA". It matches the Rfam family "Bacterial small subunit ribosomal RNA", at positions 29 to 523 of the family's 1533-position model. The record is from RNAcentral.
AGCGAACGCUGGCGGCAGGCUUAACACAUGCAAGUCGAGCGGGCCCUUCGGGGUCAGCGGCGGACGGGUGAGUAACGCGUGGGAACGUGCCUUCUGGUUCGGAAUAACCCUGGGAAACUAGGGCUAAUACCGGAUACGCCCUUUUGGGGAAAGGUUUACUGCCGGAAGAUCGGCCCGCGUCUGAUUAGCUAGUUGGUGGGGUAAUGGCCUACCAAGGCGACGAUCAGUAGCUGGUCUGAGAGGAUGAUCAGCCACACUGGGACUGAGACACGGCCCAGACUCCUACGGGAGGCAGCAGUGGGGAAUAUUGGACAAUGGGCGCAAGCCUGAUCCAGCCAUGCCGCGUGAGUGAUGAAGGCCUUAGGGUUGUAAAGCUCUUUUAUCCGGGACGAUAAUGACGGUACCGGAGGAAUAAGCCCCGGCUAACUUCGUGCCAGCCGCCGCCGUAA